AAAGAGUGCGUAAUAGCUCACUGGUCGAGUGAUCCUGCGCGGACAAUGUAACGGGGCUCAAGUACAGAGCCGAAGCUAUGGGCUUCUGAUUUAUCAGGAGCGGUAGAGGAGCGUCGAUAGGGCUGUGAAGCGGAUCCGUAAGGGUUUGUGGAGCGCUAUCGAGUGAGAAUGCAGGCAUGAGUAACGAGAGAGGGGUGAGAAACCCCUCCGCCGAAAGCCCAAGGGUUCCUGGGGAAGGCUAAUCCCCCCAGGGUAAGUCGGGAGCUAAGGCGAGGCCGAAAGGCGUAGUCGAUGCACAACUGGUUGAUAUUCCAGUACCUCCGUGCCCGCGCCAAGUCCAAUAGUUGCAACGUUGGGGCUGUUCAUCUUUAUGUUGAGCGAGCCGACCGAGCGGCUGGCGGAUAGUUGACGGGGGACGCAGGAAGAUAAGUGAACCCAGGCGAUGGUAGACCUGGGGUAAGCGUGUAGGCGGUUCCCGAUGAGAGUUGGGGGCGUAACGCUGAGACGUGAUGCCGAACGACAUACUGUGAAGUCACUGAUUCUAUGCUGCCAAGAAAAGCCCAGCAAUGAGCUGGCACGGAGCCCGUACCCCAUACCGACACAGGUGGGCGGGUAGAGAAUACUAAGGCGAGCGGGAGAACUAUGGUUAAGGAACUCGGCAAAUUACCUCCGUAACUUCGGAAGAAGGAGGACCUGCUUUGGUGACGAGAUUUACUCUCCGAGCUGAGGUGGGUGGCACAGACCAGGGGGUAGCGACUGUUUACCAAAAACACAGCAGGGUGCGAAGCCGUAAGGCGAUGUAUACCCUGUGACGCCUGCCCAAUGCUUGAAGGUCACGGGGAACGGUUAGUUCUUUAUUGAGCGAAGCUGUGAACCUAAGCCCAAGUGAAUGGCGGCCGUAACUAUAACGGUCCUAAGGUAGCGAAAUUCCUUGUCGGGUAAGUUCCGACCUGCACGAAUGGCGUAACGACUUCCCCACUGUCUCAACCAUAGACCCGGUGAAAUUGAAGUACGAGUAAAGAUGCUCGUUAGCUGCGGAAGGACGGAAAGACCCCGUGGACCUUUACUAUAACUUGGUGUUGAGUUUUGAAUUGCGUUGUGUAGGAUAGGUGGGAGACUGGGAAGCAUUAGCGCUAGCUAGUGUGGAGUCAUUGUUGAAAUACCACCCUGCGUACUUUGGAGCUCUAACCUCGGCCCGUUAUCCGGGUCAGGGACAGCGCCAGGCGGGUAGUUUGACUGGGGCGGUCGCCUCCUAAAGAGUAACGGA
Molecule: ribosomal RNA, 1267 nt
Filed under: marine metagenome
Description: bacterial LSU rRNA
Rfam family: Bacterial large subunit ribosomal RNA
Source: RNAcentral